Molecule: ribosomal RNA, 895 nt
Filed under: uncultured bacterium
Lineage: Bacteria
Description: bacterial SSU rRNA
Rfam family: Bacterial small subunit ribosomal RNA
Source: RNAcentral
AGAGUUUGAUCAUGGCUCAGGACGAACGCUGGCGGCGUGCUUAACACAUGCAAGUCGAACGAUGAUCCGGUUUCGGCCGGUGAUUAGUGGCGAACGGGUGAGUAACACGUGGGUAAUCUGCCCUGCACUCUGGGAUAAGCCUGGGAAACUGGGUCUAAUACCGGAUAUGACCUUCGGUCGCAUGAUCGUUGGUGGAAAGCUUUUGCGGUGUGGGAUGGGCCCGCGGCCUAUCAGCUUGUUGGUGGGGUGAUGGCCUACCAAGGCGACGACGGGUAGCCGGCCUGAGAGGGUGACCGGCCACACUGGGACUGAGACACGGCCCAGACUCCUACGGGAGGCAGCAGUGGGGAAUAUUGCACAAUGGGCGCAAGCCUGAUGCAGCGACGCCGCGUGAGGGAUGACGGCCUUCGGGUUGUAAACCUCUUUCAGUACCAACGAAGCGCGAGUGACGGUAGGUACAGAAGAAGCACCGGCCAACUACGUGCCAGCAGCCGCGGUAAUACGUAGGGUGCGAGCGUUGUCCGGAAUUACUGGGCGUAAAGAGCUCGUAGGCGGUUUGUCGCGUCGUCUGUGAAAACCCGCAGCUCAACUGCGGGCUUGCAGGCGAUACGGGCAGACUUGAGUACUGCAGGGGAGACUGGAAUUCCUGGUGUAGCGGUGAAAUGCGCAGAUAUCAGGAGGAACACCGGUGGCGAAGGCGGGUCUCUGGGCAGUAACUGACGCUGAGGAGCGAAAGCGUGGGUAGCGAACAGGAUUAGAUACCCUGGUAGUCCACGCUGUAAACGGUGGGAACUAGGUGUGGGCAGCAUUCCACGUUGUCUGUGCCGUAGCUAACGCAUUAAGUUCCCCGCCUGGGGAGUACGGCCGCAAGGCUAAAACUCAAAGGAAUUGACGG